UACGGCGACUGCGAAUGGCUCAUUAUAUAAGUUAUCGUUUAUUUGAUAGCACCUUACUACUUGGAUAACCGUGGUAAUUCUAGAGCUAAUACAUGCUGAAAAUCCCGACUUCGGAAGGGAUGUAUUUAUUGGAUUAAAAACCAAUGCCCUCUGGGCUCCUUGGUGAUUCACGAUAACUUCUCGAAUCGCAUGGCCUUGCGCCGGCGAUGGUUCAUUCAAAUUUCUUCCCUAUCAACUUUCGAUGUUUGGGUAGUGGCCAAACAUGGUUGCAACGGGUAACGGAGGGUUAGGGCUCGACCCCGGAGAAGGAGCCUGAGAAACGGCUACUACAUCCAAGGAAGGCAGCAGGCGCGCAAAUUACCCAAUCCCGACACGGGGAGGUAGUGACAAUAAAUACUGAUACAGGGCUCUUUUGGGUCUUGUAAUUGGAAUGAGUACAAUUUAAAUCCCUUAACGAGGAACAAUUGGAGGGCAAGUCUGGUGCCAGCAGCCGCGGUAAUUCCAGCUCCAAUAGCGUAUAUUAAAGUUGUUGUGGUUAAAAAGCUCGUAGUUGAACCUUGGGCCUGGCUGGCCGGUCCGCCUCACCGCGUGCACUGGUCCGGCCGGGCCUUUCCCUCUGUGGAACCCCAUGCCCUUCACUGGGCGUGGCGGGGAAACAGGACCUUUACUUUGAAAAAAUUAGAGUGCUCCAGGCAGGCCUAUGCUCGAAUACAUUAGCAUGGAAUAAUGAAAUAGGACGUGCGGUUCUAUUUUGUUGGUUUCUAGGACCGCCGUAAUGAUUAAUAGGGACAGUCGGGGGCAUCAGUAUUCAAUUGUCAGAGGUGAAAUUCUUGGAUUUAUUGAAGACUAACUACUGCGAAAGCAUUUGCCAAGGAUGUUUUCAUUAAUCAGAACGAAAGUUAGGGGAUCGAAGACGAUCAGAUACCGUCGUAGUCUUAACCAUAAACUAUGCCGACUAGGGAUCGGACGAUGUUAUUUUUUGACUCGUUCGGCACCUUUACGAGAAAUCAAAGUGCUUGGGCUCAGGGGAGUAUGGUCGCAAGGCUGAAACUUAAAGAAAUGACGAUGGCCACCACCAGGGGUGG
Molecule: ribosomal RNA, 1085 nt
Filed under: Purpureocillium atypicola
Lineage: Eukaryota; Fungi; Ascomycota; Sordariomycetes; Hypocreales; Ophiocordycipitaceae
Description: SSU rRNA
Rfam family: Eukaryotic small subunit ribosomal RNA
Source: RNAcentral